UGCGGGGUGGAGCAGUGGCAGCUCGUCGGGCUCAUAACCCGAAGGUCACAGGUUCAAGUCCUGUCCCCGCUA
RNAcentral lists this transfer RNA (72 nucleotides) under Chloroflexota bacterium. Its description in RNAcentral is "Chloroflexi bacterium tRNA-Met". It matches the Rfam family "tRNA". From Rfam's summary of the family: Transfer RNA (tRNA) molecules are approximately 80 nucleotides in length. Their secondary structure includes four short double-helical elements and three loops (D, anti-codon, and T loops). RNAcentral also lists the same sequence under 7 other names. Lineage: Bacteria; Bacillati; Chloroflexota. The record is from RNAcentral.